Molecule: long non-coding RNA, 907 nt
Filed under: Sorghum bicolor (sorghum)
Lineage: Eukaryota; Viridiplantae; Streptophyta; Magnoliopsida; Poales; Poaceae
Description: long non-coding RNA (SBIC_LNC009357)
Source: RNAcentral
UGCUAAUAAACAGGCCACACGCCUUCCUAGCUAGUUUAUUUAUUCAGUAUGUUUUGCAUCAGAAACAGAUGGAUGCAUUACACAGUGCCUAUUCUAGGCAGCAACACACAAACGGUGUGAAGGUUGUCUCGCAGUAGGAACCUAAGCCAUAAUGGUGGUGUCUGCAAUAAAUCUCGCACUGCACAUCAAAGAGACAAUGUUUGUCUGUGUGGCAAUUCGGCAACGGCGUCUUCAGCGGUGAUAUGUCUGGUAUGGGUGAUGAUACUAUCCAAGAACGGCUCGCGCCUACAGAUGCAACGCCAUAUAUGACAAUACACAAAUCAAACAAGUUUGGUUCCAUAAGUUAUUUACAUAUAUAGUAUUAGGCCAGCCUCAAUGGACAGUAUCACUGCACGGUUUCACAUACCAACACGUCAUCGAGAUUGAAAUGAAACUAUCUAUGAAAUAAUACUAGCAAUGGAGCAUUUCACUUUGUUGUUUCCAAGGCUAAGCAAAGCAUUUAAUUACUGCAAAAUGAUUAGAUCACAUGCAAGAUGGUGAAACGAUUUGGUCCUCAGUGGGGAUUUCAUCCCGUUUCACCGCGUGGGAAACAACGCUCGUGGAGUUUCACCAUGGUGAAACUACUUCCUUCUCUCUCCUCUUCGUUUCAUGCAAAAAGUGCAGUUUUGCUAACAUGACGCACUAAUAAAUGUGCAUGACAUCCUAGUGAAACCUCCACUGAGACUGGCCUUAGAACAUCAUACAUCAGCAGGUAUGUAUAAUUGCAUAUCUCACCUUGGCAGGGCGUGAUGAUUGAGGACAAGGUAGCAAGAACGAAGAACAAAGCAGCUGUCAAGGAAACCAUCCUCCAUGCAUUGCCCUUGACAAAUGACAUGACGAGGAAAAGGGUGUACAUACUAGUACAACC